AACCCCCCAACGUUUCGGCACCAACUGGCUGCCUUUAUGGUACCCUUGAUAAAGGCAGCCAGUUGGUGCCGAAACGUUGGGGGUU
This is a non-coding RNA of Pelobates cultripes (western spadefoot toad), 85 nucleotides long. The record is from the annotation of a GenBank genome assembly. NCBI's taxonomy places the organism in Eukaryota, Metazoa, Chordata, Amphibia, Anura, Pelobatidae.